UACGUAGGGUGCAAGCGUUGUCCGGAAUGACUGGGCGUAAAGGGCGCGUAGGCGGUUUGGACAGUCAGAUGUGAAAUUCCUGGGCUCAACCUGGGGGCUGCAUUUGAUACGUUCGGACUAGAGUGGGGAAGAGGGUCGUGGAAUUCCCAGUGUAGAGGUGAAAUUCGUAGAUAUUGGGAAGAACACCGGUGGCGAAGGCGGCGACCUGGUCCUUGACUGACGCUGAGGCGCGAAAGCGUGGGGAGCAAACAGG
This 253-nucleotide ribosomal RNA is filed under the name uncultured bacterium. RNAcentral describes it as "partial 16S ribosomal RNA". It matches the Rfam family "Bacterial small subunit ribosomal RNA", at positions 524 to 776 of the family's 1533-position model. The record is from RNAcentral.